UCAGCAGUCCAAAAUAUUAGUCAAUGCUCGAAAGAGUGAACUAGCUAACUGAAAUCAAUUAAAAAAUUGAUAACAUAAGGGAAAAUAAUGAUAUUACCUUAUUAUUAGUGUCGUCCAAAACUGGUGCCAGAAGACUCGGUAAGGCCAGAGACACAAACGUUAAUCGUCUUAAUCAGGCGUAAAGGGUUUGUAGGCGGCUUUUAAUUUACUUAUAAAAUAAGUUAAAAAUAAAAGCUAGAAUCAAAUAGAGGAUAUAUCAAAUAAUGCUUAGAGUAGGUCUGAUAUCCUUAGAUACUAAGUAGAAUAUUAAAGGCGAAAGCUUUUUUCCAUAAAUGAUUGACGCUCAGAAACGAAGGUGAGGAUAGGAAAUAGGAUUAGAUACCCAAAAUACCCCUCUCUGUCAACGAUGAAUGGUAAUUAUUAAUAAUAAAUUUAUUAUUAAUGGUAAUGUUAACACGAUAACCAUUCCGCCUUGUGAGUACAACUGCAAAGUUGAAAACAAAAAAAUUAGUCGGUUUCGGAGCAAACGAAGUGAAGCAUGUUAUUUAAUUCGAUAAUCCGCAAA
This 565-nucleotide ribosomal RNA is filed under the name Russula sp. Its description in RNAcentral is "SSU rRNA". It matches the Rfam family "Bacterial small subunit ribosomal RNA", at positions 348 to 965 of the family's 1533-position model. The record is from RNAcentral. Lineage: Eukaryota; Fungi; Basidiomycota; Agaricomycetes; Russulales; Russulaceae.